RNAcentral lists this ribosomal RNA (253 nucleotides) under uncultured bacterium. Its description in RNAcentral is "partial 16S ribosomal RNA". It matches the Rfam family "Bacterial small subunit ribosomal RNA", at positions 524 to 776 of the family's 1533-position model. The record is from RNAcentral.
UACGUAGGGUGCGAGCGUUAAUCGGAAUUACUGGGCGUAAAGUGUGCGCAGGUGGCCGCGCAAGUCGAGUGUGAAAUCCCCGAGCUUAACUUGGGAAUUGCGCUCGAAACUACGUGGCUCGAGUGUGGCAGAGGAAGGUGGAAUUCCACGUGUAGCGGUGAAAUGCAUAGAUACAAUCAAGAACUCCGAUUGCGUAGGCAGCUAACUAGGCUGUAACUGACGCUGAGGCACGAAAGCGUGGGGAGCGAACAGG